Long non-coding RNA from Myotis daubentonii (Daubenton's bat), 2954 nucleotides. RefSeq lists it as uncharacterized. NCBI's taxonomy places the organism in Eukaryota, Metazoa, Chordata, Mammalia, Chiroptera, Vespertilionidae. The record is from RefSeq and is a predicted model, not a curated record.
CAUAUUGCUUCAUGUGUGAGGAAUGAUGCAUGUUCAGUCUGUUUCCAUGCCAGGGCCACUAGUCAGAGGGCUCCCUGAGCGCCCUCCGUGGGAGCGGGCAUCUGCCCCUCUGUAGGGUGUCCCUCCGCGGGGACACGGGCAUGGCCCACACCUCUCAUCCCUCUGCCUCGGAGACCCCAGGCGGGCUAAGCCCUCGGGGAAGAGCGGCGGGCUGCUUGCUGUGCGUGAGCGUUCGCAUGCUUCCUGACGCACAAUACACAGUCGACCUCUUUAGUAUCCAUCCCGCCUCGCAUGCCUCCUGCACGACCACCGGCCCAGGAGGGCCCAGCAUGUGCCCACUGGCAUCCCAUGGAACUGGGCCAUCCCAUGGCAGCAGGCGGGCGGGUGGCGGGUGGCGGGGCUGCCGCACGAGGAAGAAGCCUCCGUCGGGAGUGCUCUGCGCCUGGUACCUGACAGAGGUUGCCUGUGAGGUGUUCACUGUCUAUACGAUGAAUAUUAUACAGUCAACCUCUUUCCGGUAUCGAAUCCCGCCGGGGACGACCUUCCCUUCGAGUGCUGACCCCAGGCGGCGGAAGCCUCUGCGUCGGGGCCCCAAGGCCCUGGCGUCGGACCUGGGCCACCUGGUCUAUUAAUUUUCCAGCUCCAUCCUGUGCGGAGGGCUCCUGAAAGCACACGGAGCGGUCUCCCUGGCUCCAGAGCCCCUGGCUGCAGGCAUGGGUGCUCGGGGGGCGGGGGACGUGGAGAGGGAGGAUCCCCUGCGCUGGGCAGCCCCAUUCUCCCCUAGCCUGGCCCUGCCCAGACCACAUCAAGGUCACUUUGGUAGAGAAGGUUCUGGAAAGGUGAACCGCCAGAGCACCUCCAAAGGUGGAGGCAGGCCAUUUGGUAUUUGUUCCUGGUGGCCUGGGCCUCAGGGAGCCCUUUCUGAGGGGGGUGGGGCUGGGACUCUCCGGCUGCCCAUUGCUGUAUUGUCCCUGCUUACUGCCACCCCUAGCAGACUGCACGGCCACUCAGGUCUCAGGGCAGGAAGUUGUCCUGUCCCUGCUCUGUCCCCUGCCACGGGGCACAGGCCAGGCCCAGGGUAGAGCAACUGUGAGUGUUCCCUGACUAAGGAACUCAGGACCUCCGGGGCCUCUCAGGUUCAUCCCUGGGUAAGUGCCCUGCGCAGAGGAGGCAGAGGAGGCCUGAGGUGUGGUGAGGAGCGCGAGCAUAUGGUAAUCAGCUCUUAGACUAACAUUCUUCCCGUUUGUUCAAAGCUGUCCGGUUUCCCCCUUUUCUGCCCCACUCAGGGUGUCAUUGGAGAGCCUGAGGCCACAGGGAUCGGUCAGGUGGGCCUGGGCUUCCUGUCCACUUUCCAGGGGACCCCGAAGGGAGUGGCGAGUCCCAGUAUAACCCAGCAGACAACCAGUGGAGCCCCCAACAUCCCAGCCAAUCCUCCAGCGCUCGGGGCCCGGUGUCAGAGCUAAUAUUUUAUGCAUGGAACUGACUAAAUGGGGACAUUUGGAGACGAAAAUUGCUGUUAAUGCAUCCACACAUCUUCGGAAUAUAUUACAUGUGUGCGGGGGGGGGGGUGGGAGGCAACAUCGGCCUUAUUUAAUAGCUCCAAUGUAUCCAUCCCCACGCCGCAGCAAUAAAAAGCACGGUGCCCCCCGGGUCUCCCAGGCCACCCCCCAGGCGGAGCAUGGGGCACAUCGGCCCCCACCUGGGAGUCACGCGUGAGACAGAUGUCAGCCCAGGGGACCAGGCGCUCGGCAGCGUGCAUGUCCCGAACUCAUUUUAAACCCGAAGAGGGUGACCCCAUACUGCUCGGCGCAGAAUUUCAUUAAAAGCCAAAUCACUGGUUUAUCUACUGUUUGAGGAUGAAAGCAAAUAAACAAAGGGCCUCCCUCAUCCGCCAGGCCGAGUGGAAAUGCCUCCUCACAGUGGCAGGGACGGAGGUGACUGGGGCCACCUCGGGCACCGCCCAGAUCCGGCCUCGGUCCACACACCUGGCGAAUAGGCAUUUUCCUUCCUUGGAAAAACCAGGGUGACGCGGCACCCAGGGCUAAGGUCCGCACGUGGGAUUCAGUCCCUGAAUGCUCGCUGCCACCCUGCCGUAGAGCUUCUGGAAGCCAUGGCUUGGACUGUCCGGCCGGCUCAUAGUAGGUGCUCCGCUAAUGCCCGGCUCAAGGCUGGCCACAGACACCAGCACAAAGUAGGUGUUCAAGAUGUGAGGGUAUAUUGAAUCGGAUCUCUUUACCCCCAGGAGGCCCUGGGAGGACGUUUGUGGAAUGAAUAAAUAACUGUGCUCUUGCAGGGAAUAAAGAAGCAGAGAAACGAAGAAGGAUUCAGGGAAGAUGGACAUAAAUCUCCACCAAGGCUCUGCAGUCCAGGAAAGACCCCGCGGAGGGAGAGGUGCCAUUUGUCACCGGUGGACAGGCUCGAGGGCCGGGAAGCACACGGGACCGGACACUUGGCAGGGACGUCCCCAUGGGUGGAGCCUUCGGUCGAUCCCAGCCAUGAGCCGAAAGCUAGACCAGACCACUUCUGCCGGGAGUGACCUGGGCUGGGAGCCCGGCCUGACCGCGGAUCAUCCUUGGGUCUGGCCCUGCUUGCUCCGAGCCCUCUCCUCCCAUCUCCUGCUCCAUUGGACUCCACAGUGGCCCCUGCUCCUGGAGAUGGGACCACACAGCGGCCAGACCAGCGCCUUCUCCCGCCUCACCAGGAACCACCACCGCUUAAAGGACCUGACUGAGCGCCCAGGGCGGUCCCUCCGUGUGGGACAGGCUGGACUUCUCUGUGGCCCGGGGAGGACUGUGGGCAUGGGGGGGACCCAGGGCGCGGGGAGGCGUCCUGAGUGACAAACUCCAAUGAAAGAGCCACCGACCCCCGACCGGGAAGGACAGAGGGGUCCCGCUCCGCCUUUUCAGCCCCUCGGACUGUUGUCAGCCUGUUUGAAUAAUAAACCCACAAGAUAA